AACGCGAAGAACCUUACACAUAUCUAGAAUCCUGCAGAGAUGCGGGAGUGCCUUCGGGAAUUAGAAUACAGGUGGUGCAUGGCUGUCGUCAGCUCGUGUCGUGAGAUGUUGGGUUAAGUCCCGCAACGAGCGCAACCCUUGUCCUUAGUUACCAGCGGGUUAAGCCGGGAACUCUAAGGAUACUGCCAGUGACAAACUGGAGGAAGGGGGGGACGACGUCAAGUCAUCAUGGCCCUUACGACCAGGGCUACACACGUGCUACAAUGGUAGGUACAGAGGGCAGCUACACAGCGAUGUGAUGCAAAUCUCAAAAAGCCUAUCGUAGUCCAGAUUGGAGUCUGCAACUCGCCUCCAUGAAGUAGGAAUCGCUAGUAAUCGCGGAUCAGAGUGCCGCGGUGA
RNAcentral lists this ribosomal RNA (399 nucleotides) under uncultured bacterium. RNAcentral's name for it is "bacterial SSU rRNA". It matches the Rfam family "Bacterial small subunit ribosomal RNA", at positions 958 to 1365 of the family's 1533-position model. The record is from RNAcentral.